GGGGUAUAGUAGCAAUACUAGAGACCGGCGCACGGGUGCGUAACGCGUAUGCAAUUUACCUUAUACAGAGGGAUAGCCCAGAGAAAUUUGGAUUAAUACCUCAUAGCAUAGCAACUUCGCAUGAAGUCACUAUUAAAGUUCCAACGGUAUAAGAUGAGCAUGCGUCCUAUUAGCUAGAUGGUAAGGUAACGGCUUACCAUGGCUACGAUAGGUAGGGGUCCUGAGAGGGAGAUCCCCCACACUGGUACUGAGACACGGACCAGACUCCUACGGGAGGCAGCAGUGAGGAAUAUUGGACAAUGGGCGCAAGCCUGAUCCAGCCAUGCCGCGUGCAGGAAGACGCAUCUAUGGUGUGUAAACUGCUUUUGUACGGGAAGAAACACUCCCUCGUGAGGGAGCUUGACGGUACCGUAAGAAUAAGGAUCGGCUAACUCCGUGCCAGCAGCCGCGGUAAUACGGAGGAUCCAAGCGUUAUCCGGAAUCAUUGGGUUUAAAGGGUCCGUAGGCGGUUUGGUAAGUCAGUGGUGAAAGCCCAUCGCUUAACGAUGGAACGGCCAUUGAUACUGCCAGACUUGAAUUACUGGGAAGUAACUAGAAUAUGUAGUGUAGCGGUGAAAUGCUUAGAUAUUAC
Molecule: ribosomal RNA, 631 nt
Filed under: uncultured Flavobacterium sp.
Lineage: Bacteria; Pseudomonadati; Bacteroidota; Flavobacteriia; Flavobacteriales; Flavobacteriaceae
Description: bacterial SSU rRNA
Rfam family: Bacterial small subunit ribosomal RNA
Source: RNAcentral